This 491-nucleotide long non-coding RNA is filed under the name Salvia miltiorrhiza (redroot sage). RNAcentral describes it as "long non-coding RNA (SMIL_LNC002450)". The record is from RNAcentral. Lineage: Eukaryota; Viridiplantae; Streptophyta; Magnoliopsida; Lamiales; Lamiaceae.
GAGGGAGUAAUAAUUUAUGGAUUUGUUGGGAAUGUGUAUUUCCGAUUCGAGAUAUUAAUUUUUUAUGUUAUUUUUUAGUUUUUUUUUCAGUAUUUUUAUUAAUAUUGUUUUCUAUGUUUUAUUUUAUUUUUGUCAUAAUCUACGUGUUUUCCAACUUUUUCUUUAAGCUUUUCCUUCAACAUUUUUUGGGGGCUUUUCCAGCGUUUUCAAGCUCCCUUUUUUUUUAUUUCUCCAGUUUUCCUUUCUAGUGUUUUAGUAUUUUUUUUUUAUAUUUCUUUUGUUUUAUGAUAUUUCGUCAUAAUUUAUUACUUUCACUCAUAUCAAAUACUACUUUUACGCAUAUCAAAUAUUACUUAACGAAAAUAUGACUUCUUCUAAUAACAAUUACUCCCUCUGUUUACAAAAUGAAUACCCAUAUUUUCUUUUUAGUCCGUCUACAAAAUGAGUACUCAUUUCCCUUUUUGGCAAGUGUACCCCCACAUAACAAUUUA